Molecule: long non-coding RNA, 2003 nt
Organism: Vigna unguiculata (cowpea)
Lineage: Eukaryota; Viridiplantae; Streptophyta; Magnoliopsida; Fabales; Fabaceae
Source: RefSeq, a predicted model, not a curated record
AAGGCAUUGCGCCAGGAGUAUAUAUAAUAGAGAGAGUUUAAUAUGCAGAACCAAGAUUUCUGCUGUAAAAGAAGAUUUAGUUUCAUAUACAAAGACGGUGUGAUGAAGAACUGUUCCAUUUUAAUUCUCUUCCACCUUUUCUAUUUCUAUUCAUAUUUCCUUUUUUGGUAAAUUUUAAUUAAACGAAUAAAUCGUCCAUUCCCUUACCUCUUCCUUUCUUUCGUCUUCAUCGUGUAAGGAAGAAAAUGCACGCUUCGUGUGCGUGCCUCCACUGUACCUCCAUCGUUCUUGUAUGAAGUUCAAGGUUUCACAGAAGUUCAUGGAUCAUCUACCUUGUCUUCAUCACAAAGUUCUUGCAACCACAACUGAUGAUGCCUUUAGAUUUUCUACAGAAGAAGAAAUAGACCAUGGUGCUAGAGAUUCUAGGUGGCAUUGUCAAAGGACUUAAAGCAGGAAAACCCUCUCAAACAAAUGUGACUAAAGUCCAGCCUCCAAUUUUGGAAUUUGAAAAGCAUUUUCUUUUGGAUUAUGAUACAACACGGGCUUUAAUGAUGAAGAGGCCCACUAGAGUGCACAAGAAACCUAAUUGGCUGAAGGAUUUUGUUUUAAAAAAAAAACAAAUGUUUUUUUUCAGUAGUUUAAAUAUGCUUGUUUUAUGAAAGAGGCUUUUAAGUCCAAUAUGCAUUUUCUUUCCUCUGUAAGCUACUGGACCACAAGUUCCCUAUUUAAGGGAUUGGAACGUAAUGGAAUGGCAGAGAGAUAAAUUUUUUUUAACCUAGUUUUCUUUUCCUUCCCUUACCUAUCUUAGCAAAACUGUAGCAGGUACCUAACAGAUUCUGUAUUUUGGCACAAAUUAUAUUGAAAUAGAUGAGCCCAAGCCGUAAAUAACUAAGAGUUAUACUUCACCUCUUGAUGUUAAAAACAAACAAAAAGGUAAAUCACUUUCAAAACAUUUAUUACAUUUUGACUAUAAAGACUAGUAGCAGUUUCUUCCUUCUGCCGUAGAUAAGUUAUGAGAUAGGGAGAAAUUAUUUGAAGGUUGCACCAAUAAGGAUGAUGUUAAGCCAAUACUUAGAACAUUUGAAGAAAAUAUUCCUACUUAUAGAAAAACUGGGGAUGCUUCUUCAGCUACUGCCCUAUCAAUGAGUUAAACCAAUGAGUUAAAUAUAUUGGAGUGCAAGAGCAAGAAGAGAGAGAGAGAAUGGGAAUGGAAAUCGUGGAGUUGAAGAGAAUUACAGAUCAUAAUAAAAAUUGUUGCUGGAGAUGGUGUUUUGGUUGGAAAGUUGGGCUGACCUGACGAUCCAGACGGAUUAGACUGACCUAACAACACAAACAAGUUGAGCAGCCCGAUGACCCAGACGGAUUGAGUGGGCCCAACGACCCAAAUAGGUCGAGCAGGCCCGAUAACCCAAACGGGUUAGGCGGGCCUGACGACUUAAACGGACGAGGGUGACUUGAUGACACAUAUGGGUCGGGCGGGCUUGACAACUCAAACAGGUUGAUCAAGUCCGACAACCCACACCGCCCCAGGUAGGCCUGACGACCAAGAUGUGUCGUGUUGGCCCUGCGACAUAAACGGGUCGGAUGGGCCUGACGACCCAACUAGGACUAACGACCCAAACGAGUCAGGUGGGCUUGAAUACAUAGACGAGCUGAAUCGACCUGACAACCAAGACAGGUUAGCGAGUCUGAUGGCCCAAGUAGGACAGGCGAGCUCAACGACCCACACAGAUUUGGUGGACCAGAGGACCUAGAGGUGUCAGGCAAGCCUGACGACUCAUACAUGUCGGGCAAGCCCAACGACCCAACCGACCUGUUGACCCGACAAGCAUUGCUGGGAUCAAAGAUGUACAUCUAGUGACAGACCUAAGUGUAUAUAAGUACAUUUUGAACAUCUCACAUGAAUAAUUGAAAACUACUAUGUAUUGUGUCUUGUAUGAAAGGCCAAUUAUAGAAACACUCUCCUUUUAAAUGCCAAGUUUCCAAAUUAUAGUUUUGUAUUA